RNAcentral lists this ribosomal RNA (207 nucleotides) under uncultured bacterium. Its description in RNAcentral is "partial 16S ribosomal RNA". It matches the Rfam family "Bacterial small subunit ribosomal RNA", at positions 568 to 774 of the family's 1533-position model. The record is from RNAcentral.
CGCGCAGGUGGUUUCUUAAGCCUGAUGUGAAAGCCCACGGCUCAACCGUGGAGGGUCAUUGGAAACUGGGAGACUUGAGUGCAGAAGAGGAUAGUGGAAUUCCAAGUGUAGCGGUGAAAUGCGUAGAGAUUUGGAGGAACACCAGUGGCGAAGGCGACUGUCUGGUCUGUAACUGACACUGAGGCGCGAAAGCGUGGGGAGCAAACA